RNAcentral lists this ribosomal RNA (559 nucleotides) under uncultured bacterium. RNAcentral describes it as "partial 16S ribosomal RNA". It matches the Rfam family "Bacterial small subunit ribosomal RNA", at positions 355 to 902 of the family's 1533-position model. The record is from RNAcentral.
UGGGGAAUAUUGCACAAUGGGCGCAAGCCUGAUGCAGCCAUGCCGCGUGUGUGAAGAAGGCCUUCGGGUUGUAAAGCACUUUCAGCGAGGAGGAAGGUGGUGAACUUAAUACGUUCAUCAAUUGACGUUACUCGCAGAAGAAGGACCGGCUAACUCCGUGCCAGCAGCCGCGGUAAUACGGAGGGUGCAAGCGUUAAUCGGAAUUACUGGGCGUAAAGCGCACGCAGGCGGUUUGUUAAGUCAGAUGUGAAAUCCCCGGGCUCAACCUAGGAACUGCAUUUGAAACUGGCAAGCUAGAGUCUCGUAGAGGGGGGUAGAAUUCCAGGUGUAGCGGUGAAAUGCGUAGAGAUCUGGAGGAAUACCGGUGGCGAAGGCGGCCCCCUGGACGAAGACUGACGCUCAGGUGCGAAAAGGCGUGGGGAGCAAAACAGGAUUAGAUACCCUGGUAGUCCACGCUGUAAACGAUGUCGAUUUUGGAGGUUGUGCCCUUGAGGCGUGGCUUCCGGAGCUAACGCGUUAAAUCGACCGCCUGGGGAGUACGGCCGCAAGGUUAAAACUC